GCAGGACAAAUUAAGAAAACCCUAAUCUAUCUUGCAAGUGAUGAGCCCAAAAUCAAUUUAAAACCAAAUUUAGAAUUUUCUAAAAUUUCAGAUUAAUUUUCAGAUUUUUUUUUUGUUGUAUUUUUUUUUUAAAAAAUAGCUAAUAAUAAAGAAAAGCAAAUUUAGAAGAAAGAUAAGAAAAAAAUAGAUGAAAGAGAAAAGAUGAUGAAGGAGAAGGUAGAACCUUUUAGUAAGAAGAAUUUUGUCGGCGCACACGACAAGAGAGAGGAAAGGAAGAAGAUACCACGACCGCAGUCCAUUGAUUGAAAAGGCGCGAGGCGCGAAAAGGCGCAAGACCCUCCUGGAGUCUAGGCGCGAGGCGCACUGCGAGGCGCGCGCCUUAAGAAGGCGAGGCGCACAGUAAUUUAAUUUGAUAUUCUACAUUAAAAAAACUCCAAAAUAACUAUACAAAACUAAAAUAACUAUAAAAAAGUAAAGAAAACACAUGCAUAUAGGUUCUCAAGUUAAAAAAAAUAUAUUUCGACUUUCAACUUAAAAGUGAUUGUGGUGCCAAUGUUUUCAUUUGGCCUCAAGAAGGAGAAGAGGGCGAUAAAAGGAGAGAGUGGUAGGAGGAGAGGCGAUAGAUUGAUUUCAUUAGGGUUUUUUUAGGUUUCUUUUAGAUUCUUUUACUAAUCUUAUUGGGCUAAAACAUAAAAUUUAUAUCCGAAACCCAAUAACCCAAAAACUUUAAUCCAAAAUCCAAAAAAUAUUAAAUAUGCCGAGGCGCGCGCCUCAGGGCCUAGGCGCGCGCCUCAGCAAUAGCGCCUUGCCUCGCUAUUGUUGAGGCGCGGAGGCCCGCGCCUUGCGCCUAGGCGCUGAGGUGCGCGCCUCAGGCCCACCUUUUCAAACACUGCCACAGUCAAAUCAUAAACAUCAAACUGAUUUUCAUUACUCCUCCCCAAAUUACAAAUUAUAGGCUAUAUUUAUAACCUUCCAACCGUAAUCCUAAUCCAAUUCAAAUCCCAAGAUUUUAGGGAUAUUUUCCUAAUUCGAGUAUAUCUAAAAUCUAAACCAUAUCCCUAAUUUUUAGGGAUUUAUUCCAUAUGAUAAAUCCUAAAAAUCUUCACAAAAACGAGUAAAACAAAUUAACAAGUAAAAUAAUUCCAAAAAUUAGAAAAAAGUUUAAAACCUAAACGAAUCAAUCCUAUCCGCACCCGAUUCUGUAUCAUUUGCUUCCGCUGCGCAGGAUCUCGUCCUCGAGAUACCUAUUGAUGCUCGAAGAUAUUUUGGAUAUGGCCCAAGAAUUCCAUCACCUGUAGCGAAGCCAACUCGACGUAGAAGCAAGUUUUUGCCUAUCUUUUUCAACUUCACAAUAUUACUUAAUUUACAAGACAUGAAUUUCAAUUUUGAUCUGGCACAGUCGAACGAAUAAGUAUUUUCAUAUCCAUUGUGCUUCACUUUGUGAUCAUACAUCCAUGGCCUUCCAAGUAGUAUAUGUGUGACUUUCAUAGGUAGAACAUCACACGAUACUUGUUGAAUUAACUUACCAAUUGAAUAUACCACUAGGCAUUGCCGAGUGACUUUCAAAUUUUGGUUAUUUACCCAUGCCAACUUGUAAGGCUCAGGAUGCAGUGUGGUCUUCAAUUUCAGUUUGUCAACGGCUUCUUUAGAAAUAAUGUUGGCACAACUUCCCAAGUCUAUAACCAUUGAACAAACUUGUCUAUUACAAAGAACUCGAGUUUGAAAGAUGGUAUGGCGCUUCCACUCCUUAUCGUCUUCUGUUGCGUGGGUUGAGAGCAUCGGCCUAAUAACUCCGCAAUGUUCAAGCUCUUUAUCAUAUUCGGGCUCGUGCACUUCAAUAUCAUCAUCAUCAUAUGGUACGACGCAUAAAUUUUCAAAAUCAUCAUGUGCUUGAGCCAUUGCUAAGUUGCGCUGUGGACAUUGGUGAGCAUAGUGCCCGGCCUUGUCGCACUUGAAACACCUGCCUUCUUUUUUCUUUGACGCCUCAAAGAUUGAUGCCUUAGGGGAUGCCUAGGGAGUGGAUAUUGGUUGCUUCAUCUUUUCGGACGCAGUGUAGUGGUGCUCAGAUCUUGACUCAGGAUUGCGUAGAAAGUUAGGCCGCGUCGGUGAAGCAUGCGCAUUUUGCUCCUCCACAAUCUGGUGUGCAACUUGAACUGCGUCAGCAAGGGAGAGGAAUCGACUGGAGGCUAACUUUUCAGCAAUAUUGGAAUGGAGGCCUCGUCGAUACAUGGUAAUCAACAAAUCCUCACUCCAUGGAAAUUCUGAUCGUGCUGCCAGAUGGUUGAAACGUGAAGUGUACUCCUCGACUGUCAUGCUACCUUGAGUUAACUUGGUAAAUUGGUAUUGAACGCGCUGCCUAUAAUCAAUUGGUACGAAUUGACGUGUCAUAGCUCUUUUCAUAUCCUCCCACAUACGAACAUCCAUAUAAGGAUGUUGCCUGUUCUCGUGUCCACCAAAUACGUGCUGUACCACGAAGUUUUGAUUCUACAAUCAUAAUUUUUUGAUCUUCCGCAGGCUGGUACCAACGAAAAUAUGCCUCUAGGCUGUAAACCCAGUCUAAAAAUAUUUCGGGGUCCAUGUCACCAUGAAACUCCUCCACAUGAAACUUGAUACCUCUUUGAUUUUCUGUAGCUUUGGUAUGAGAUGUAGUGGUUUGAGUUUGCGGCGGGGUAUUUUGAAUAGAUUGAGGAAUAACAGGAGGUAAGGGAGGGACGGAAGUUGCGGAUGUUAGAGAGGAGCCCGUGGGCGGUGGAGAUUUAGAAUGAAUGAGGUUUUCAAAUAGCUGUUUGAUUUCCGCUAAUUGUUGGUUAGUUGAUUGCAAAUUAGUUUCUAACUUUUCAAAACGAGUGUUGGUAGAAAGUUUAAAUUCUUCAAGCAUUGAACUAAGUUCUGCGUUUGUUGGCAUUUUGAAAAUUAAUUUAUUAAUCAACUUUUCUCUGAUACCAAAACUAAUGCAGGACAAAUUAAGAAAACCCUAAUCUAUCUUGCAAGCGAUGAGCCCAAAAUCAAUUUAAAACCAAAUUUAGAAUUUUCUAAAAUUUCAGAUUAAUUUUCAGAUUUUUUUUUGUUGUAAUUUUUUUUUUUUUAAAAUAGCUAAUAAUAAAGAAAAGCAAAUUUAGAAGAAAGAUAAGAAAGAAAUAGAUGAAAGAGAAAAGAUGAUGAAGGAGAAGGUAGAACCUUUUAGUAAGAAGAAUUUUGUCGGCGCACAGGACAAGAGAGGAAAGGAAGAAGAUACCACGACCGCAGUCAAAUCAUAAAUAUCAAAUUGAUUUUCAUUACACGUCCCCAAAUUACAAAUUAUAGGCUAUAUUUAUAACCUUCCAACCGUAAUCCUAAUCUAAUUCAAAUCCCAAGAUUUUAGGUAUAUUUCCCUAAUUCGAGUAUAUCUAAAAUCUAAACCAUAUCCCUAAUUUUUAGAGAUUUAUUCCAUAUGA
This 3434-nucleotide long non-coding RNA is filed under the name Ananas comosus (pineapple). RNAcentral's name for it is "long non-coding RNA (ACOM_LNC005074)". Lineage: Eukaryota; Viridiplantae; Streptophyta; Magnoliopsida; Poales; Bromeliaceae. The record is from RNAcentral.